AUCUUUUUGUAGUUCAUAAGUGUGAUGAUUGGGUUUUGACAUGCAGGUGUGAGAUGUGCCACCCUCAAACCUUGUUACAGCAUAGACACGUGACCCUCUGGUG
Small nucleolar RNA from Pan troglodytes (chimpanzee), 103 nucleotides. It matches the Rfam family "Small nucleolar RNA U13". The record is from Rfam. Lineage: Eukaryota; Metazoa; Chordata; Mammalia; Primates; Hominidae.